CUAUAACACUUUAAAAAAGCAUUCCUUGUUAGUUUGUUUUUAAUUCCAUUUCCCUUUUUUUUGUUGUUGUUGUUAUUUUUGACAAAUUUCACAGAAAUUUUUUACCUAAUUUUACUAUUUUCCAAUACUUCACACUUUUUUGAUUUCAGAAGUAUAUCCAAGCACUAAAACCAUCAUGCUAUGUUCAUCACCCACUUCCAUGAAGGAAAAUUACAUUCUAACAUAAUUAAUUAAGUAUAGAAGAAAAAUCAACCACUACUCCUCCAAAGAACACAUAAGAAGUGAGCCAAGAGAGAGAAUCACUCAAUAAAUUAUUCUAUUUUUUUUUUUAUUUUAGUAUUUGCAGGAAGAUGGAUCCCAGCCUAUUAAAACUAAAACUUGCAGGAAGAUAGGGACUCUGAUGUAUCAUCUGUCAAGGUGUCUUCAUCUGUAUGCUGCCAGAUCUGUGGGCAUGCUGCCAGGAUGCUCUAUCAUGCCAGAAAGCUCUACAUUCCCACCAGCCGUCUCGAUCUUGACAAGUGGAGAUUAACGGAUGCUUCAAGUCCCCUUUUGAUUUACAUAAACCAUUCUGAAGUGACAUGAUUAAAGAUGGCAGUGCAGCAGAAAAUGCAUACGUUUGUGUUACUAAACAGCUCUGCUGUAUCUUACAGUAAUAAUUAAAACACUCUUGGAAAUAGCAUAUGCAGAAUGGCAAAAGGUCGCCAUUUCUGGUGCAGAACAACUUUACUAACACACCAAAACUAUCUGCUGUGUUUGUUUUGGCAUAACUUAUUUAUACUUUAUCUAUUAGGUGACACAGAAAGGUAAUUGACUGUCUCAGAUAUCCUAGAUGUGAGAUGUUACUUCCCCUGCUACAUUCAAAUCACAUACAAAGGCAUGCACAGACUUAUGCUUUGAGAAUGUCUGGUCUGAGUGGAAAAACAAAUGCUUGCUUCAUUAUACAGUGG
This 947-nucleotide long non-coding RNA is filed under the name Coturnix japonica (Japanese quail). RNAcentral describes it as "lncRNA (ENSCJPG00005006793.1)". Lineage: Eukaryota; Metazoa; Chordata; Aves; Galliformes; Phasianidae. The record is from RNAcentral.